GACAGAGGGUGCAAACGUUGUUCGGAAUUACUGGGCGUAAAGCGCAUGUAGGCGGCUCGGAAAGUCGGAUGUGAAAGCCCAGGGCUCAACCCUGGAAGUGCACUCGAAACUCCCGAGCUGGAGUCCCGGAGAGGAAGGCGGAAUUCUUGGUGUAGAGGUGAAAUUCGUAGAUAUCGAGAGGAACACCUGUGGCGAAGGCGGCCUUCUGGACGGUGACUGACGCUGAGAUGCGAAAGCGUGGGGAGCAAACAGG
RNAcentral lists this ribosomal RNA (253 nucleotides) under uncultured bacterium. RNAcentral's name for it is "partial 16S ribosomal RNA". It matches the Rfam family "Bacterial small subunit ribosomal RNA", at positions 524 to 776 of the family's 1533-position model. The record is from RNAcentral.